ACCACGGGGGGCAGCAGUCUAGAGGCUUCGGCAAUGGGGGAAACCCUGACCGAGCGACGCCGCGUGUGGGAUUGAAGGCCUUCGGGUCGUAAACCACUGUCAAGAGGGAAGAAUGCCCGGAUGGUGAAUCCGGGAGGGACGGUACCUCUGGAGGAAGCCCCGGCUAACUCCGUGCCAGCAGCCGCGGUAAUACGGAGGGGACAAGCGUUGUUCGGAUUUACUGGGCGUAAAGGGUGUGUAGGCGGCUGGGUAAGUCUGGUGUGAAAUCUUCACCGCUCAACGGGAAGAGGUCACUGGAAACUGCCUAGCUCGAGUAUGGUAGAGGCAAGCGGAAUUCCUGGUGUAGCGGUGGAAUGUGUAGAUAUCAGGAAGAACAUCGGUGGCGAAGGCGGCUUGCUGGGCCAUUACUGACGCUGAGACACGAAAGCGUGGGGAGCGAACGGGAUUAGAUACCCGUGUAGUCU
Molecule: ribosomal RNA, 464 nt
Filed under: uncultured bacterium
Lineage: Bacteria
Description: bacterial SSU rRNA
Rfam family: Bacterial small subunit ribosomal RNA
Source: RNAcentral